Molecule: long non-coding RNA, 342 nt
Filed under: Fukomys damarensis (Damara mole-rat)
Lineage: Eukaryota; Metazoa; Chordata; Mammalia; Rodentia; Bathyergidae
Description: lncRNA (ENSFDAG00000026284.1)
Source: RNAcentral
CUAGAGAGUGUGUCCCAGCGUGGUGAAGGAUUUGUGCCAGAAGGCUGAGGGGUCCGCACUGGAGUCAGGAAAUGACCCUCAAGACAAAGGCAAAGACCAGUGCUCCCUUGAAGAGAACAGCAGCAACCCCUGGUGACAGGGAGGACUGGAGCCCCUCCACCAAUGAGAACAGAGGAGAUCAUAUCAGCGUGCAGCUCACCAAGGCCACGUGGAGCAAAAGCUGAGGAAAUGGGAACUGCUAAGCAAAAAGCUCUUAAAUGUUAUAAAUCUUCAUUGGAGGAGAUUUGAGUAGCAGUGACUGAAAGUUGGAACAAAGAGAGUUUGCAGAUCACAAGUCAGAGC